RNAcentral lists this ribosomal RNA (459 nucleotides) under uncultured Cytophagaceae bacterium. RNAcentral describes it as "bacterial SSU rRNA". It matches the Rfam family "Bacterial small subunit ribosomal RNA", at positions 338 to 795 of the family's 1533-position model. The record is from RNAcentral. Lineage: Bacteria; Pseudomonadati; Bacteroidota; Cytophagia; Cytophagales; Cytophagaceae.
CCUACGGGUGGCAGCAGUAGGGAAUAUUGGACAAUGGGUGAGAGCCUGAUCCAGCCAUGCCGCGUGCAGGAAGAAGGCGUUAUGCGUUGUAAACUGCUUUUGCCAGGGGAUAAAACGGUUCUGCGGAACUAAUUGAAGGUACCUGGUGAAUAAGCCACGGCUAACUACGUGCCAGCAGCCGCGGUAAUACGUAGGUGGCAAGCGUUGUCCGGAUUUAUUGGGUUUAAAGGGUGCGUAGGCGGCCCUGUAAGUCAGUGCUGAAAUAUCCCGGCUUAACCGGGAGGGUGGCAUUGAUACUGCAGGGCUUGAGUACAGAUGAGGUAGGCGGAAUUGACGGUGUAGCGGUGAAAUGCAUAGAUAUCGUCAAGAACACCGAUAGCGAAGGCAGCUUACCAAGCUGUAACUGACGCUGAGGCACGAAAGUGUGGGGAUCAAACAGGAUUAGAUACCCGAGUAGUC